This 253-nucleotide ribosomal RNA is filed under the name uncultured bacterium. Its description in RNAcentral is "partial 16S ribosomal RNA". It matches the Rfam family "Bacterial small subunit ribosomal RNA", at positions 524 to 776 of the family's 1533-position model. The record is from RNAcentral.
UACGGAGGGAGCAAGCGUUACUCGGAAUUAUUGGGCGUAAAGGGCGCGUAGGCGAUUUGAAAAGUCUUGUGUGAAAGCCCCGAGCUUAACUCGGGAAGUGCACAAGAAACUGUUGAAUUUGAGUUCCGGAGAGGAAGGCAGAAUUCCCGGUGUAGCGGUGAAAUGCGCAGAUAUCAGGAGGAACACCGGUGGCGAAGGCGGAUCUCUGGGCCUUACCUGACGCUCAGGCACGAAAGCUAGGGGAGCGAACAGG